Juglans microcarpa x Juglans regia is the source of this 108-nucleotide small nucleolar RNA. NCBI's taxonomy places the organism in Eukaryota, Viridiplantae, Streptophyta, Magnoliopsida, Fagales, Juglandaceae. The record is from RefSeq and is a predicted model, not a curated record.
UACCCAUGGUGAGGAGACAUACUCAACAACUCCUUAAACCUCUCCCAAGUCUUAUAGAAAGUUUCACUAUUCUUUUGGGCAAAGGUAGAGAUCUGCCUCUUUAAAGCA